AACGCGAAGAAACUUACCUACCCUUGACAUGUCUGGAAUUCCGAAGAGAUUUGGAAGUGCUCGCAAGAGAACCGGAACACAGGUGCUGCAUGGCUGUCGUCAGCUCGUGUCGUGAGAUGUUGGGUUAAGUCCCGCAACGAGCGCAACCCUUGUCAUUAGUUGCUACGAAAGGGCACUCUAAUGAGACUGCCGGUGACAAACCGGAGGAAGGUGGGGAUGACGUCAAGUCCUCAUGGCCCUUAUGGGUAGGGCUUCACACGUCAUACAAUGGUCGGGACAGAGGGUCGCCAACCCGCGAGGGGGAGCCAAUCCCAGAAACCCGAUCGUAGUCCGGAUCGCAGUCUGCAACUCGACUGCGUGAAGUCGGAAUCGCUAGUAAUCGCGGAUCAGCAUGUCGCGGGAAUACG
This 407-nucleotide ribosomal RNA is filed under the name Achromobacter sp. RG16. RNAcentral's name for it is "bacterial SSU rRNA". It matches the Rfam family "Bacterial small subunit ribosomal RNA", at positions 958 to 1370 of the family's 1533-position model. Lineage: Bacteria; Pseudomonadati; Pseudomonadota; Betaproteobacteria; Burkholderiales; Alcaligenaceae. The record is from RNAcentral.